GUCGGAGGUCGGAGGUGGGGGAGGGAAUGGAUCGUAAGUCACCCAUAUAGUCUGCUUCAUUUGCAGCCCAGAGAGGCAGGGAUUCGAGGAUGGAGGGCUGUCUUUUGGGCUGUUAUUCUUGCAUCUACACUACCAUUUGGCUAGGGUCUUAAGUGACCCGAGGCACAUCCUACUUUACUAGCCGGGUAUGGGGUCCCAUGU
This 201-nucleotide long non-coding RNA is filed under the name Homo sapiens (human). RNAcentral describes it as "HSALNT0016434". The record is from RNAcentral. Lineage: Eukaryota; Metazoa; Chordata; Mammalia; Primates; Hominidae.